GUGAAGGUUCAUGUAUAUGUCCUGAGGGAGGAGUAGCUGCAAACAAAAUGGGGUGAACUAUUUCACUGACACUGUAAGACACUGAGGUAGAAAGAGAGUCCUUCACAGGAGAAUCUCUUGGGAUGACCUCUAUGACGGCAUAAAGCAGCAGUAAAAAUUCAGAGAAGAAGCAAAUAGUACACCAAAUAGAGUGGCUGAGUUCUCCAAGUCUACGUUCGUGAUCCAAUAUUUCACUUUUCAGCUUCAUUAUUUUCCUUUGGAAUUUCAGGUAGGGGGGCUGACAGUAAAUCUGGG
This 294-nucleotide long non-coding RNA is filed under the name Vulpes vulpes (red fox). RNAcentral describes it as "lncRNA (ENSVVUG00000003972.1)". The record is from RNAcentral. Lineage: Eukaryota; Metazoa; Chordata; Mammalia; Carnivora; Canidae.